Molecule: ribosomal RNA, 440 nt
Filed under: uncultured bacterium
Lineage: Bacteria
Description: partial 16S ribosomal RNA
Rfam family: Bacterial small subunit ribosomal RNA
Source: RNAcentral
CCUACGGGAGGCAGCAGUCGGGAAUAUUGCGCAAUGGAGGAAACUCUGACGCAGCGACGCCGCGUGUAGGAAGAAGGUCCUCGGAUUGUAAACUCUUGUCGUGAGGGAAGAAAUUGACAGUACCUCAGGAGGAAGCUCCGGCUAACUAUGUGCCAGCAGCCGCGGUAAUACAUAGGGAGCAAGCGUUAUCCGGAUUUAUUGGGUGUAAAGGGUGCGUAGACGGGAAUUUAAGCUAGGUGUGAAAUCCCUCGGCUUAACUGAGGGACUGCAACUAAAACUGAUUUUCUUGAGUGCAGGAGAGGAAAGUGGAAUGCCUGGUGUAGCGGUGAAAUGCGUAGAUAUUAGGAGGAACACCAGUGGCGAAGGCGGCUUUCUGGACAGUAACUGACGUUGAGGCACGAAAGCGUGGGGAGCAAACAGGAUUAGAUACCCUAGUAGUC